GAUGAACGCUGGCGGCGUGCCUAAUACAUGCAAGUCGAGCGAACAGAUAAGGAGCUUGCUCCUUUGACGUUAGCGGCGGACGGGUGAGUAACACGUGGGUAACCUACCUAUAAGACUGGAAUAACUCCGGGAAACCGGGGCUAAUGCCGGAUAACAUUUAGAACCGCAUGGUUCUAAAGUGAAAGAUGGUUUUACUAUCACUUAUAGAUGGACCCGCGCCGUAUUAGCUAGUUGGUAAGGUAACGGCUUACCAAGGCAACGAUACGUAGCCGACCUGAGAGGGUGAUCGGCCACACUGGAACUGAGACACGGUCCAGGCUCCUACGGGAGGCAGCAGUAGGGAAUCUUCCGCAAUGGGCGAAAGCCUGACGGAGCAACGCCGCGUGAGUGAUGAAGGUCUUCGGAUCGUAAAACUCUGUUAUUAGGGAAGAACAAAUGUGUAAGUAACUGUGCACGUCUUGACGGUACCUAAUCAGAAAGCCACGGCUAACUACGUG
Molecule: ribosomal RNA, 497 nt
Filed under: uncultured bacterium
Lineage: Bacteria
Description: partial 16S ribosomal RNA
Rfam family: Bacterial small subunit ribosomal RNA
Source: RNAcentral